GCUACGGGAGGCAGCAGUGGGGAAUAUUGCACAAUGGGGGAAACCCUGAUGCAGCGACGCCGCGUGAGUGAAGAAGUAUCUCGGUACGUAAAGCUCUAUCAGCAGGGAAGAAAAUGACGGUACCUGACUAAGAAGCCCCGGCUCACUACGUGCCAGCAGCCGAGGUCAUACGUAGGGGGCAAGCGUUAUCCGGAUUUACUGGGUGUAAAGGGAGCGUAGACGGCAGCACAAGUCUGGAGUGAAAUCCCGGGGCUUAACCCCGGAACUGCUUUGGAAACUGUGCGGCUUGAGUGCAGGAGGGGUAAGCGGAAGUCCUAGUGUAGCGGUGAAAUGCGUAGAUAUUAGGAGGAACACCGGUGGCGAAGGCGGCGUACUGGACUGUAACUGACGUUGAGGCUCGAAAGCGUGGGGAGCAAACAGGAUUAGAUACCCUUGUAGUC
Molecule: ribosomal RNA, 440 nt
Filed under: uncultured bacterium
Lineage: Bacteria
Description: partial 16S ribosomal RNA
Rfam family: Bacterial small subunit ribosomal RNA
Source: RNAcentral